RNAcentral lists this ribosomal RNA (254 nucleotides) under uncultured bacterium. Its description in RNAcentral is "partial 16S ribosomal RNA". It matches the Rfam family "Bacterial small subunit ribosomal RNA", at positions 524 to 776 of the family's 1533-position model. The record is from RNAcentral.
GACGUAGGGCGCGAGCGUUGUCCGGAUUUAUUGGGCGUAAAGAGCUCGUAGGCGGCUCGUUGCGUCGGCUGUGAAAAACCCGCAGCUCAACUGUGGGCUUGCAGCUGAUACGGGCGGGCUGGGAUUCGGUAGGGGAGACUGGAAUUCCUGGUGUAGCGGUGAAAUGCGCAGAUAUCAGGAGGAACACCGGUGGCGAAGGCGGGUCUCUGGGCCGAUAUCGACGCUGAGGAGCGAAAGCGUGGGGAGCGAACAGG